This 316-nucleotide ribosomal RNA is filed under the name uncultured Pseudomonas sp. RNAcentral's name for it is "bacterial SSU rRNA". It matches the Rfam family "Bacterial small subunit ribosomal RNA", at positions 19 to 337 of the family's 1533-position model. Lineage: Bacteria; Pseudomonadati; Pseudomonadota; Gammaproteobacteria; Pseudomonadales; Pseudomonadaceae. The record is from RNAcentral.
UUGGCUCAGAACGAACGCUGGCGGCAGGCCUAACACAUGCAAGUCGAGCGGAUGAGAGGAGCUUGCUCNUCGAUUCAGCGGCGGACGGGUGAGUAAUGCCUAGGAAUCUGCCUAGUAGUGGGGGACAACGUUUCGAAAGGAACGCUAAUACCGCAUACGUCCUACGGGAGAAAGUGGGGGAUCUUCGGACCUCACGCUAUUAGAUGAGCCUAGGUCGGAUUAGCUAGUUGGUAGGGUAAAGGCCUACCAAGGCGACGAUCCGUAACUGGUCUGAGAGGAUGAUCAGUCACACUGGAACUGAGACACGGUCCCACGA